This 947-nucleotide ribosomal RNA is filed under the name uncultured Alloprevotella sp. Its description in RNAcentral is "bacterial SSU rRNA". It matches the Rfam family "Bacterial small subunit ribosomal RNA", at positions 27 to 973 of the family's 1533-position model. The record is from RNAcentral. Lineage: Bacteria; Pseudomonadati; Bacteroidota; Bacteroidia; Bacteroidales; Prevotellaceae.
GGAUGAACGCUAGCUACAGGCUUAACACAUGCAAGUCGUGGGGCAGCGGAUGCUUAGCUUGCUAAGUAUGCCGGCGACCGGCGCACGGGUGAGUAACGCGUACCGAACCUGCCCAUCACACAGGGAUAGGCUUGCGAAAGCAAGAUUAAUAUCUGAUGGUCUCAAUUUUAUGCAUGUAUGAUUGAGUAAAGCCUUCGGGCGGUGAUGGAUGGCGGUGCGUCCCAUUAGGAAGUUGGCGGGGUAACGGCCCACCAAUCCUUCGAUGGGUAGGGGUUCUGAGAGGAAGGUCCCCCACAUUGGAACUGAGAUACGGUCCAAACUCCUACGGGAGGCAGCAGUGAGGAAUAUUGGUCAAUGGGCGAGAGCCUGAACCAGCCAAGUAGCGUGCGGGAUGAAGGCCCUUGUGGUCGUAAACCGCUUUUAUCAGUGAAUAAAGUGCAUCACGUGUGGUGUCAUUGCAGGUAGCUGAAGAAAAAGGACCGGCUAAUUCCGUGCCAGCAGCCGCGGUAAUACGGAAGGUCCGGGCGUUAUCCGGAAUUAUUGGGUUUAAAGGGAGCGCAGGCGGGAGUGUAAGUCAGCUGUUAAAUAUCAGGGCCCAACUCUGUUAUGCAGUUGAAACUAUAUUUCUUGAGUACGCACAGGGAUGGCGGAAUUCAGGGUGUAGCGGUGAAAUGCUUAGAUAUCCUGAAGAACUCCGAUCGCGAAGGCAGCCAUCCGGAGCGUAACUGACGCUGAGGCUCGAAGGUGCGGGUAUCGAACAGGAUUAGAUACCCUGCUAGUCCGCACGGUAAACGAUGAAUACUCGCGGUUCGGUCAUUAUGAUUGAGUUGUCCAGCGAAAGCGUUAAGUAUUCCACCUGGGGAGUACGCCGGCACGGUGAAACUCAAGGAUGACGGGGCCCGCACAAGCGGAGGACAUGUGUUUAUCGAUGAUACGCGAGAACCUUA